Molecule: long non-coding RNA, 433 nt
Organism: Gymnodraco acuticeps
Lineage: Eukaryota; Metazoa; Chordata; Actinopteri; Perciformes; Bathydraconidae
Exons: 3
Source: RefSeq, a predicted model, not a curated record
CGGCGUUGUAGGCCAGGAUGGAGCGCGUCCUCAUCUGCUUCCCCUCGAUGGUCUUACUGGAGCAGGUCUGGGAGCAGCUGGUCCAGGGCGUCCAAUCACUGAGCACGCAGUCUCUUGAGCAAGGCACCUCACAGGCCACGGGCUCUGGAGCCGGGGAGGACGUGCAGAGCUUCCUGUCCACUUCCGCUCCUGAAGAAACAAAGGGGGAAAUAACACACUCUCCAACUCAACCCUCCUCCAGCCCAGAAUGUGAAACAGAGAUAUAAGGAUCACAAAACUCCACCAUAUUCAAGAUGCCUGGUCUACUUUAGCUCAUAAACACCCCCAGAGGAUGGAGGAGUGACAAGAUAAAUUAGAGAGAACGUGCUCCAAUCACAACAACACCCACAUGCUUGGCAGCGAAGACAUAGCUGUUGGUAACAUCAAAGAAAUA